UACAGAGGUCCCGAGCGUUGUUCGGAUUUAUUGGGCGUAAAGGGCGCGUAGGCGGCCUUCUAAGUCGGACGUGAAAUCCCUCGGCUUAACCGGGGAACUGCGUCUGAUACUGGAUGGCUUGAGUUCGGGAGAGGGAUGCGGAAUUCCAGGUGUAGCGGUGAAAUGCGUAGAUAUCUGGAGGAACACCGGUGGCGAAGGCGGCAUCCUGGACCGACACUGACGCUGAGGAGCGAAAGCCAGGGGAGCAAACGGG
Molecule: ribosomal RNA, 253 nt
Filed under: uncultured bacterium
Lineage: Bacteria
Description: partial 16S ribosomal RNA
Rfam family: Bacterial small subunit ribosomal RNA
Source: RNAcentral